RNAcentral lists this long non-coding RNA (757 nucleotides) under Salmo salar (Atlantic salmon). RNAcentral describes it as "lncRNA (ENSSSAG00000105501.1)". Lineage: Eukaryota; Metazoa; Chordata; Actinopteri; Salmoniformes; Salmonidae. The record is from RNAcentral.
UUCCAGAUCGUGAGUGAGGGUAUGUGUUGUGUGUUUGUGUCAGUGAAUGGGGGGGUAUGUGAUAUAGUGGGGUAUGUCCUGUAUGUAAUAUAUGUAUGUAUACUGCCAGUUAGUGGGAUGCCAGUGCGGGGCAGGGCAGUGGACAGACUCAGAUCAUUCCUGUGAUUUAACAUGACACCACUUGCACUAAGACUGCGACAGCUGCGUAUGCACAUGCCGCCAAUUCUGUUUGUUGUAGGGGCUUACGCUGCGAUAAAAGGCCAAGUGCAGAGUAGUGUGGCUGGGCCCAGAGCAUUACUCUUUCCCCCCAAUUUAGAAGGCUUUCCCCCGGCCUCCAGGGCUCUGGAAAAACACAGGUGGAAAAAGGAUGAAUGGGAGUAUUCAAAUGAUGAUUGGUGUCACAUAACCUUUAGAAAUCACUCAAAUUACAUGAUGUAAGUUGUUCAUUACUUAACAGCAGACACAGGGGACACUGGUUGGCUACAUACAGUAGUUAUGAUGGUGGAGCAGACCUUAGUGUUUUGGUUGGUUACAUACAGUAGUUAUGAUGGUGGAGCAGACAACAGUGUUCUGGUUGGUUACAUACAGUAGUUAUGAUGGUGGAGCAGACCUUAGUGUUCUGGUUGGCUACAUACAGUAAGUUAUGGUGGAACAGAGUAAUGUAUUACCUCAUGCUAUGUUGGGUCAUGAGAAAAUGAUCCAAAGAAGGUUCUUACUGUAUGCACCAUGCAUGUGUUAUUACAUGUUCCAAUGCAAA